CCUACGGGUGGCAGCAGUAGGGAAUUUUUCACAAUGGGCGAAAGCCUGAUGGAGCAACGCCGCGUGCAGGAUGAAGGCCUUCGGGUUGUAAACUGCUUUUAUAAGCGAGAAAUAUGAUGGUAACUUAUGAAUAAGGAUCGGCUAACUACGUGCCAGCAGCCGCGGUCAUACGUAGGAUCCGAGCAUUAUCCGGAGUGACUGGGUGUAAAGAGUUGCGUAGGUGGCAUAAUAAGUAGCUAGUGAAAUCUGGUGGCUCAACCAUUCAGACUAUUAGCUAAACUGUUAAGCUCGAGACCGUUAGGGGUAACUGGAAUUUCUAGUGUAGGAGUGAAAUCCGUAGAUAUUAGAAGGAACACCAAUAGCGUAGGCAGGUUGCUGGGACGGUUCUGACACUAAGGCACGAAAGCGUAGGGAGCAAACGGGAUUAGAUACCCCAGUUGUC
RNAcentral lists this ribosomal RNA (442 nucleotides) under uncultured bacterium. RNAcentral's name for it is "partial 16S ribosomal RNA". It matches the Rfam family "Bacterial small subunit ribosomal RNA", at positions 338 to 795 of the family's 1533-position model. The record is from RNAcentral.